This 301-nucleotide ribosomal RNA is filed under the name uncultured bacterium. RNAcentral describes it as "partial 16S ribosomal RNA". It matches the Rfam family "Bacterial small subunit ribosomal RNA", at positions 509 to 807 of the family's 1533-position model. The record is from RNAcentral.
CAGUAGCCACGGUAAUACGAAGGGUGCAAGCGUUAAUCGGAAUUACUGGGCGUAAAGCGUGCGUAGGCGGUUUGUUAAGUCUGUUGUGAAAUCCCCGGGCUCAACCUGGGAAUGGCAAUGGAUACUGGCAAGCUAGAGUGUGUCAGAGGAUGGUGGAAUUCCCGGUGUAGCGGUGAAAUGCGCAGAGAUCGGGAGGAUCAUCAGUGGCGAAGGCGGCCAUCUGGGACAACACUGACGCUGAGGCACGAAAGCGUGGGGAGCAAACAGGAUUAGAUACCCCCGUAGUCCCUGUCUCUUAUAC